Molecule: ribosomal RNA, 778 nt
Filed under: uncultured Neocallimastigales
Lineage: Eukaryota; Fungi; Neocallimastigomycota; Neocallimastigomycetes; Neocallimastigales
Description: partial large subunit ribosomal RNA
Rfam family: Eukaryotic large subunit ribosomal RNA
Source: RNAcentral
AGAGAUGUGUGAUGACGCAUAUCAAUAAGCGGAGGAAAAGAAACUAACAAGGAUUCCCCUAGUAACGGCGAGUGAAGCGGGAAGAGCUCAAAUUUGAAAUCUUCAAGGUUUGACCUUGACGAAUUGUAGUUUAAAGAAGUGUUUUCGGUUAGAGGAGUGGUAAAAGUUCUUUGGAAUAGGACAUCAUAGAGGGUGAGAAUCCCGUAUUUGACCAUUCUUUCUAGCUUUGUGAUACACUUUCAACGAGUCGGAUUGUUUGGGAAUGCAGUCCAAAAUGGGUGGUAAAUUUCAUCUAAAGCUAAAUAUUGGCGAGAGACCGAUAGCGAACAAGUACCGUGAGGGAAAGAUGAAAAGAACUUUGAAAAGAGAGUUAAACAGUACGUGAAAUUGUCAAAAGGGAAGCGUUUGACACCAGUGUUGUUUUUUCUCUGAAAAUCAAUUAAAGAAACUGUUUAUGCUAAGCUGUUUAGACUUUAUCAGCUAUCUGUUUAGUUUUGAGCUUUUCUUUAAUGCACUUUUCAGUUAACAAGUCAACAUCAAUUUCUUUUGCUGUAAAAAAGCUUGAGGAAGGUGGCUUGAGAUUCGUCUUAAGUGUUUAUAGCCUCUUGCCUAUGCAGUCGGAGAGAUUGAGGUCUGCAGCGUAGAUCCUUCGGGGCUAAAUGCAUUUGUGCUAAGUUAUAGCAUUUUAUAGACAACUUGUUGACUACGAUUUGUCUUGUAGCUUACUCGCUUAUGUUAUUUUACCUACGCUUAGGAUGUUGAGUAGCGACAUACGCAC